This 922-nucleotide ribosomal RNA is filed under the name uncultured Bacteroidota bacterium. RNAcentral describes it as "bacterial SSU rRNA". It matches the Rfam family "Bacterial small subunit ribosomal RNA", at positions 1 to 916 of the family's 1533-position model. The record is from RNAcentral. Lineage: Bacteria; Pseudomonadati; Bacteroidota.
GGAUCCAGACCUUGAUCCUGGCUCAGGAUGAACGCUAGCUACAGGCCUAACACAUGCAAGUCGAGGGGAAACGGCAGCUUAGCUUGCUAAGCUGGACGUCGACCGGCGCACGGGUGAGUAACGCGUAUCCAACCUGCCCCACGGUGAGGGAUAACCCGCGGAAACGCGGCCUAAUACCUCAUGGUCUCCGAGCUUGACAUCAAUCUUGGAGUAAAGAUUCAUUGCCGUGGGAUGGGGAUGCGUCUGAUUAGCUUGUUGGCGGGGCAACGGCCCACCAAGGCUACGAUCAGUAGGGGUUCUGAGAGGAAAGCCCCCCACAUUGGAACUGAGACACGGUCCAAACUCCUACGGGAGGCAGCAGUGAGGAAUAUUGGUCAAUGGGCGAGAGCCUGAACCAGCCAAGUAGCGUGCAGGAAGACGGCCCUAUGGGUUGUAAACUGCUUUUAUGCGGGGAUAAAGCGGGCGACGUGUCGCCCUUUGCAGGUACCGCAUGAAUAAGGACCGGCUAAUUCCGUGCCAGCAGCCGCGGUAAUACGGAAGGUCCGGGCGUUAUCCGGAUUUAUUGGGUUUAAAGGGAGCGCAGGCCGGGUAUUAAGCGUGUUGUGAAAUGUAGGCGCCCAACGUCUGCACCGCAGCGCGAACUGGUGCCCUUGAGUACGCACGACGUUGGCGGAAUUCGCCGUGUAGCGGUGAAAUGCUUAGAUAUGGCGAAGAACUCCGAUUGCGAAGGCAGCUGACGGGAGCGCUACUGACGCUCAUGCUCGAAAGCGCGGGUAUCGAACAGGAUUAGAUACCCUGGUAGUCCGCGCGGUAAACGAUGGAUGCCCGCUAUUUGCGCCUUAGCGCAAGUGGCCAAGUGAAAACGUUAAGCAUCCCACCUGGGGAGUACGCCGGCAACGGUGCAACUCAAAGGAAUUGACGG